This is an RNA transcript of Leopardus geoffroyi (Geoffroy's cat), 1136 nucleotides long. RefSeq lists it as uncharacterized. NCBI's taxonomy places the organism in Eukaryota, Metazoa, Chordata, Mammalia, Carnivora, Felidae. The transcript has 3 exons. The record is from RefSeq and is a predicted model, not a curated record.
CGCCUGGGUCGCGGGGCGCUUUGGCACCCUUGGCUGCCUGUGGACGCGGAGCCCGUGGGAGGCGAGCUUUCCUGCUGCAGUCGCCGACUAGCCCAUCUCCCUUCCCUGGGGCGAAGCCGCAGGUGCCUCACGCCAGACCUCGGACACGCUCCUGGUGGGCUGAGCCGGAGGCCGACCUGAGAGACCGACUUAACGCAGUGGCCGCGCAACCGCCCUUUCGGUGCUGGCCGCAGCUUCUCCUGGCGCGGCCUAUUUCUGAGGCGAGGGCUCUCCUUCCGGGACCAGUCAGGGAGCGAGCCGGGCUCGGGAAACCGGGCAGCGAACGUUCUCGUGCGCUGUGCAGAAUAUUCCUCCGGUUGGGGACCGAGAAGCAAAAGCAAGCAGCCUCUGAGGAGACGUGGGUUAGGGCUUUCCUGAAAGUGCUACGUUUCACCACAUACAUUCAGCAUUCAUUUAAGUAGAAUUUGGCGGAUAUUGUGAAUUAGGAAACAUUCUCAAGAACACCUUCCAACCCCCCCCCCACAGCCUCCCACUCCCCUGCUUGUACCUUGAACCGUGUCACCAACAGAGGCUGCACCGUCUCCAGAAAUCUCCAGUGCAGUCACUACCUCUCUUUUACCGUAAUCUUCGAAUCUCGUUUGCGCAAAAGACCAACAUCCCGGCAUAAUCUUUAACUUCGUUAUGACCUCCCCCGCCCCCCCCCCCCCGCCCCAUCCCUAGUUCUUAGGCAUUUGCUCACAGAUUCUUCCUUAGAGUUCAUGGUCCAUCUUUGUAACACUUUUAGAAAUUUCCCCCAUCUCUGUCUCGGUUUCCUCCUCCACGAAAUGGGAUAAUCACACCUACUUCCUACAGUUUUCCUCAUAAUUACGCAAGUUAAUGCCCGUGAAAGAACUUAGAAAAGUGCCUGUCCCACAAGAAUUGGAUUUAUCACGUAACCUCACUGCUAUGCCUCACAGUCUGCAAUGAUAUUCAGAUACAACCAAAAGAUUUAUCUGGAGGACCAAAUGCAGUUUCAUAUGUAUAUUUAGAAGUUGUAUGUGAUCAUUUUUCAAAAGCAACAAAAAUUCCACUCCGCUAUGACAAUGGAUUUAUCCUCAUUCAGACAGACAAAUCUGUUUACAAUUCAGAUGAGUCAG